CACACACACACAAGCACGUAGAGACCUGGGGAAAAAGCAACACUGAGAAAUCUACCCUCUGAAACCGACGAAGAUGGGCAACAGAGGCUAGCUCAGGUGGCAAUUUUUAAGGAAAAAUAAAAGGAAGUGCGUGGAGACCUGGGGAAAAAGCAACACGGAGAAAUCUACCCUCUGAAACUGAGAAAGAAGCGCAACAGAGGCUAGCUCAGGUGGCAAUCUUUAAGCAAAAGAAACACACAAGGGCGUGGAGAGCUGGGGAAAAAGCAACACUGAGAAAUCCACCCUCUGAAACGGACGAAGAUGGGCAACAGAGGCUAGCUCAGGUGGCAAUCUUUAAGCAAAAAAAACACACAAGGGCGUGGAGACCUGGGGAAAAAGCAACACGGAGAAAUCCACCCUCUGAAACUGAGGAAGAUGGGCAAGAGAGGCUACCUCAGGUGGCAAUCGUUAAGCAAAAGAAACACACAAGGGCGUGGAGACCUGGGGAAAAAGCAACACGGAGAAAUCCGCCCUCUGAAACUGAGGAAGAUGGGCAAGAGAGGCUAGCUCAGGUGGCAAUAGUUAAGCAAAAACAAAACACAAAGGCGUGGAGACCUGGGGAAAAAGCAACCCUGAAAUAUCUACCCUCUGAAACUGAGGAAGAUGGGCAAGAGAGGCUGGCUUCAGGUGGCAAACUUUAAGCAAAAGAAACACACAAGGGCGUGGAGACCUGGGGAAAAAGCAACACUGAGAAAUCCACCCUCUGAAACGGACGAAGAUGGGCAACAGAGGCUAGCUCAGGUGGCAAUCUUUAAGCAAAAGAAACACACAAGGGCGUGGAGACCUGGGGAAAAAGCAACACGGAGAAAUCCACCCUCUGAAACUGAGGAAGAUGGGCAACAGAGGCUAGCUCAGGUGGCAAUCGUUAAGCAAAAACAAAACACAAAGGCGUGGAGACCUGGGGAAAAAGCAACCCUGAAAUAUCUACCGUCUGAAACUGUGGAAGAUGGGCAAGAGAGGCUGGCUCAGGUGGCAAACUUUAAGCAAAACAAACACACAAGGGCGUGGAGACCUGGGGAAAAGCAGCACUGAGAAAUCUACCUUCUGAAACUGAUGAGGAUGGGCAACAGAUGCUACCUCAGGUG
RNAcentral lists this long non-coding RNA (1124 nucleotides) under Equus asinus (donkey). RNAcentral describes it as "lncRNA (ENSEASG00005034799.1)". The record is from RNAcentral. Lineage: Eukaryota; Metazoa; Chordata; Mammalia; Perissodactyla; Equidae.